AUGUGUCCUUUCCCAUGGGGUGCAAGCGCGUGCGUGCAUGUGUAUACACACACACACACACACACACACACACACACACACACACACAC
This 89-nucleotide microRNA precursor is filed under the name Echinops telfairi (small Madagascar hedgehog). RNAcentral's name for it is "miRNA (ENSETEG00000023880.1)". The record is from RNAcentral. Lineage: Eukaryota; Metazoa; Chordata; Mammalia; Afrosoricida; Tenrecidae.